This 520-nucleotide ribosomal RNA is filed under the name uncultured bacterium. Its description in RNAcentral is "bacterial SSU rRNA". It matches the Rfam family "Bacterial small subunit ribosomal RNA", at positions 21 to 518 of the family's 1533-position model. The record is from RNAcentral.
GGCUCAGGACUAGCGCUGGCGGUGUGUCUUAGACAUGCAAGUCGAGCGGGGCACAUUGUGUAGCAAUACAGUGAUGUGCUUAGCGGCGAACGGGUGAGUAACACAAGGGCAACCAUCCCCGAGGAGGGGCACAACCCGCCGAAAGGCGGGCUAAUUCCCCAUGUGAUGUGAUGGAGGUAUCUUCGUCAUAUCAAAGACGCUGCAAGGUGUCACCUUGGGACGGGCUCUUGUCCUAUCAGCUUGAUGGCGGGGUAACGGCCCACCAUGGCAAAGACGGGUAGCCGGCGUGAGAGCGUGACCGGCCACAGGGGAACUGCGACACGGUCCCCACUCCUACGGGAGGCAGCAGUCUAGAAUUUGGGCAAUGGGCGAAAGCCUGACCCAGCGACACCGCCGUGGAGGAUGACGUCCUUCGGGAUGUAAACUCCUGACAGGAGGAACGAUGCCGUUCCGGAGUAACUGCCGGAACGGUGACGGUACUUCCAAAGGAAGCCCCGGCUAACUACGUGCCAGCCGCCGC